GUGUGGAAAAAAAGGAAAGAAAGGUCAGCACAAAAGGACAGAGGAGAUUUGUGUCUAGAGAACAACAUGGUAUAAAGACAUCACUCAUUGGUUUUUUGUGUUUUUUUGCUAUCAAAAUAUUCU
Molecule: non-coding RNA, 123 nt
Organism: Ictidomys tridecemlineatus (thirteen-lined ground squirrel)
Lineage: Eukaryota; Metazoa; Chordata; Mammalia; Rodentia; Sciuridae
Source: Rfam